Molecule: non-coding RNA, 93 nt
Organism: Chaetomidium leptoderma
Lineage: Eukaryota; Fungi; Ascomycota; Sordariomycetes; Sordariales; Chaetomiaceae
Source: the annotation of a GenBank genome assembly
GGCAAGGUGGCCGAGUGGUUAAGGCGCUAGAUUUAGGAUGCAAGUCCAUCUCUCUAGUGGGAAACCGCGCGAGUUCGAGUCUCGUCCUUGUCA